GCACUGGUGGUCUAGCGGUUAAGAUUCGCCACUCUCACCGCCGUAGCCUGGGUUCAAUUCCUAGUCAGAGAA
Molecule: transfer RNA, 72 nt
Filed under: Equus caballus (horse)
Lineage: Eukaryota; Metazoa; Chordata; Mammalia; Perissodactyla; Equidae
Rfam family: tRNA
About the family: Transfer RNA (tRNA) molecules are approximately 80 nucleotides in length.
Source: Rfam by way of RNAcentral